CUGCAGGGAUGAUUUAGAACCUGAACUCUCUCUUUCUGAUGGUGUAGUGGAGAAAACAGGAAAAUUUCUCUGAGUAGC
Molecule: small nucleolar RNA, 78 nt
Organism: Cricetulus griseus (Chinese hamster)
Lineage: Eukaryota; Metazoa; Chordata; Mammalia; Rodentia; Cricetidae
Gene: SNORD26
Rfam family: Small nucleolar RNA SNORD26
About the family: U26 is a member of the C/D class of snoRNA which contain the C (UGAUGA) and D (CUGA) box motifs. U26 is encoded within the U22 snoRNA host gene (UHG) in mammals and is thought to act as a 2'-O-ribose methylation guide for ribosomal RNA.
Source: Ensembl